GGAUGUGAGGAUGUGAGGCUUUGACAUCUGUCAUCUUAUUGAUCGCCAGGAUUGAUUUGGCUGAUCUAGCUGGCAAGGCGGGUGUCCCCUUCCUCCCUCACCAGUCCAUGUACAUCCCUCCUGAGACAGACUCCCCCCCACACACAUACCGAAUAGAGAGAGACUGGUCUUCUGUUAUACCAGUAGCUGCAUUUCCCUUCUAGAACCUCCGAACAAGCUCCACAGGGGAUGCCGGGGAUCUAACCCCGGUCAGCCACAGGCAAAGCAAAUGUUUUACCUGCUAUACUAUCGCUCUGGCCCCCCAAGAGGAAAAAAAUAAUU
This 321-nucleotide small nuclear RNA is filed under the name Sorex araneus (European shrew). RNAcentral's name for it is "7SK RNA (ENSSARG00000017859.1)". It matches the Rfam family "7SK RNA". From Rfam's summary of the family: 7SK was discovered as an abundant small nuclear RNA in the mid-70s but a possible function has only recently been suggested. Lineage: Eukaryota; Metazoa; Chordata; Mammalia; Eulipotyphla; Soricidae. The record is from RNAcentral.